GGUUGUGGCUCAGUGAUAGAGCGUUUGCCUAGUAUGUGUCAGGCACUGGGUUCAAUCCUCGGCACCA
This 67-nucleotide transfer RNA is filed under the name Marmota monax (woodchuck). RNAcentral describes it as "tRNA.Thr". Lineage: Eukaryota; Metazoa; Chordata; Mammalia; Rodentia; Sciuridae. The record is from RNAcentral.